This 496-nucleotide ribosomal RNA is filed under the name uncultured bacterium. RNAcentral's name for it is "partial 16S ribosomal RNA". It matches the Rfam family "Bacterial small subunit ribosomal RNA", at positions 28 to 506 of the family's 1533-position model. The record is from RNAcentral.
GAUGAACGCUGGCGGCGUGCCUAAUACAUGCAAGUCGAGCGAACAGACGAGGAGCUUGCUCCUCUGACGUUAGCGGCGGACGGGUGAGUAACACGUGGAUAACCUACCUAUAAGACUGGGAUAACUUCGGGAAACCGGAGCUAAUACCGGAUAAUAUAUUGAACCGCAUGGUUCAAUAGUGAAAGACGGUCUUGCUGUCACUUAUAGAUGGAUCCGCGCCGCAUUAGCUAGUUGGUAAGGUAACGGCUUACCAAGGCAACGAUGCGUAGCCGACCUGAGAGGGUGAUCGGCCACACUGGAACUGAGACACGGUCCAGACUCCUACGGGAGGCAGCAGUAGGGAAUCUUCCGCAAUGGGCGAAAGCUUGACGGAGCAACGCCGCGUGAGUGAUGAAGGUCUUCGGAUCGUAAAACUCUGUUAUUAGGGAAGAACAAAUGUGUAAGUAACUAUGCACGUCUUGACGGUACCUAAUCAGAAAGCCACGGCUAACUACGU